Molecule: ribosomal RNA, 253 nt
Filed under: uncultured bacterium
Lineage: Bacteria
Description: partial 16S ribosomal RNA
Rfam family: Bacterial small subunit ribosomal RNA
Source: RNAcentral
UACAGAGGUCCCAAGCGUUGUUCGGAUUCACUGGGCGUAAAGGGUGCGUAGGCGGUUUGAUAAGUCUGACGUGAAAUCUCCGGGCCUAACCCGGAAACUGCGUUGGAAACUAUCAAGCUCGAGGAAUGGAGGGGAGACUGGAAUACUUGGUGUAGCAGUGAAAUGCGUAGAUAUCAAGUGGAACACCAGUGGCGAAGGCGAGUCUCUAGACAUUUCCUGACGCUGAGGCACGAAAGCCAGGGGAGCAAACGGG